AAAAAAAAAAGAAGACAAAGACAACUGUCACUGUCAUUUAUUGGACACAUUUUCGCAUUAAAGUUCUGCGUGCAUGGUGCAAAUACAUUAAGUCGGCCAGGGAUUAAUCAAUUAAAACAUGUGCAUGCGCAGCCACGUCUAGAAUGACCUGGCAGUGGUUCAAUUAAUGAGGAAAAGUGUUGCAAUCUGUUCAUGGGGGCUAAGACAGGUGCAGAAUAGACCUUUGUCCCUCCGCACCUCAAGGGGCCCACGCGGCGCCGGAACGUAGCGUCAUCGCCAAUGACACGCGUCGCGUAUAACCCAAUGAUUUCGCAACUUCCAGAACAUUUUCACCACCCCCUAUUUCCCUCGAUACCCUUUCGUCCCAUCCCUACCCGUUUCUACCGUAGUCUGCGGCAGGAUUCCCAAGCCGCGCCCGUCAGGCCAGCCCUACGCAGUACUUCGCAAAUCUGAACUAUGCCCUACGGACUAAAGUGAAGUGCGACCGAGUGACUACAGGACCACAUGUGGCUGAAGGGAUACGGGUUCGACAUCGCUUGGCACAAGCCCGGCUAGAUACAGAAAACUCUUUGUGCUCCGGAAUGAAACGGCGGUUCAUUGGAAUGUGACGGGCGAGCAGUGAGCGGCAUGCGAGGCGAGCGCUCUAGGCGGGCCGCGGCCUCGCUCGCCGCGCUCG
Ostrinia nubilalis (European corn borer) is the source of this 676-nucleotide long non-coding RNA. RefSeq lists it as uncharacterized. Lineage: Eukaryota; Metazoa; Arthropoda; Insecta; Lepidoptera; Crambidae. The record is from RefSeq and is a predicted model, not a curated record. The transcript has 3 exons.